AGGUCUGUAACUCAGUGGUAGAGUAUCACCAUAACGAGGUGAAAGUCAUUGGUUCAACUCCAGUUAGGCCUA
RNAcentral lists this transfer RNA (72 nucleotides) under Candidatus Vidania fulgoroideorum. RNAcentral's name for it is "tRNA-Val". It matches the Rfam family "tRNA". Rfam says of the family: Transfer RNA (tRNA) molecules are approximately 80 nucleotides in length. Their secondary structure includes four short double-helical elements and three loops (D, anti-codon, and T loops). Further hydrogen bonds mediate the characteristic L-shaped molecular structure. tRNAs have two regions of fundamental functional importance: the anti-codon, which is responsible for specific mRNA codon recognition, and the 3' end, to which the tRNAs corresponding amino acid is attached (by aminoacyl-tRNA synthetases). tRNAs cope with the degeneracy of the genetic code in two manners: having more than one tRNA (with a specific anti-codon) for a particular amino acid; and 'wobble' base-pairing, i.e. permitting non-standard base-pairing at the 3rd anti-codon position. Lineage: Bacteria; Pseudomonadati; Pseudomonadota; Betaproteobacteria. The record is from RNAcentral.